Molecule: long non-coding RNA, 490 nt
Organism: Trichomycterus rosablanca
Lineage: Eukaryota; Metazoa; Chordata; Actinopteri; Siluriformes; Trichomycteridae
Exons: 2
Source: RefSeq, a predicted model, not a curated record
CAGAAUAGCAUCUAUUUUUUAUUUUAAAUUACCAGGGACACAUGUAUUCGGUCACUAUUAAAAAUGUACAUAUUUGUACGCUUGGUUGUGAUACGCUAUGAACGUUUUACCUCAGAAGUGACGAGAAAGUAAAGCACCCAGAAACAAGAAAUCUGACCACUCUAAACAACUGAAUUUAUCUACAACCCUACUGAGAGCAGCUACUUACAAUAAUGAAGCUACAGAAGGUACUUACGCGCCACUCUGGACCUGCAUGGAACCAAUUUCAUUGUUGUGCCAGCCCAUUGCCUGCAGGGAAGGGUAGUCAUCACACAGCUCCCACCGUCUGCCCAUCAUGUUCUCACACUCCCACACACACAUGCGGGACUCCUUGUGGCACUGUUUCAACACAAAGUAGGACUUUAAAUCCUGUCACUUGCUUAUGAUCCCUGCCUACAUUCAAUACCCUCAUAAUGCUUAGAGUCAGUAAAUAAAAUGUAAGUUAACUAAA